GGGGAAUAUUGCACAAUGGGCGAAAGCCUGAUGCAGCAACGCCGCGUGAGUGAUGACGGUCUUCGGAUUGUAAAGCUCUGUCUUUUGGGACGAUAAUGACGGUACCAAAGGAGGAAGCCACGGCUAACUACGUGCCAGCAGCCGCGGUAAUACGUAGGUGGCAAGCGUUGUCCGGAUCUACUGGGCGUAAAGGAUGUGUAGGCGGAUACUUAAGUGAGAUGUGAAAGCCCCGGGCUCAACCUGGGGACUGCAUUUCAAACUGGAUAUCUAGAGUGCAGGAGAGGAAAGUAGAAUUCCUAGUGUAGCGGUGAAAUGCGUAGAGAUUAGGAAGAACAGCAGUGGCGAAGGCGGCUUUCUGGACUGUAACUGACGCUGAGGCAUGAAAGCGUGGGGAGCAAAC
Molecule: ribosomal RNA, 400 nt
Filed under: uncultured bacterium
Lineage: Bacteria
Description: bacterial SSU rRNA
Rfam family: Bacterial small subunit ribosomal RNA
Source: RNAcentral